CCAGACUCCUACGGGAGGCAGCAGUGGGGAAUCUUCCGCAAUGGACGAAAGUCUGACGGAGCAACGCCGCGUGAGUGAUGACGGCCUUCGGGUUGUAAAGCUCUGUUAAUCGGGACGAAAGGCCUUCUUGCGAAUAGUGAGAAGGAUUGACGGUACCGGAAUAGAAAGCCACGGCUAACUACGUGCCAGCAGCCGCGGUAAUACGUAGGUGGCAAGCGUUGUCCGGAAUUAUUGGGCGUAAAGCGCGCGCAGGCGGAUAGGUCAGUCUGUCUUAAAAGUUCGGGGCUUAACCCCGUGAUGGGAUGGAAACUGCCAAUCUAGAGUAUCGGAGAGGAAAGUGGAAUUCCUAGUGUAGCGGUGAAAUGCGUAGAUAUUAGGAAGAACACCAGUGGCGAAGGCGACUUUCUGGACGAAAACUGACGCUGAGGCGCGAAAGCCAGGGGAGCGAACGGGAUUAGAUACCCCGGUAGUCCUGGCCGUAAACGAUGGGUACUAGGUGUAGGAGGUAUCGACCCCUUCUGUGCCGGAGUUAACGCAAUAAGUACCCCGCCUGGGGAGUACGACCGCAAGGUUGAAACUCAAAGGAAUUGACGGGGCCCGACAG
RNAcentral lists this ribosomal RNA (604 nucleotides) under uncultured bacterium. RNAcentral's name for it is "bacterial SSU rRNA". It matches the Rfam family "Bacterial small subunit ribosomal RNA", at positions 331 to 926 of the family's 1533-position model. The record is from RNAcentral.